UACGAAGGGUGCAAGCGUUACUCGGAAUUACUGGGCGUAAAGCGUGCGUAGGUGGUUUGUUAAGUCUGAUGUGAAAGCCCCGGGCUCAACCUGGGAAUGGCAUUGGAUACUGGCGAGCUAGAGUGCGGUAGAGGGUAGUGGAAUUCCCGGUGUAGCAGUGAAAUGCGUAGAGAUCGGGAGGAACAUCUGUGGCGAAGGCGACUGCCUGGACCAGCACUGACACUGAGGCACGAAAGCGUGGGGAGCAAACAGG
This 253-nucleotide ribosomal RNA is filed under the name uncultured bacterium. RNAcentral describes it as "partial 16S ribosomal RNA". It matches the Rfam family "Bacterial small subunit ribosomal RNA", at positions 524 to 776 of the family's 1533-position model. The record is from RNAcentral.